CGAAGCAUGAUCGCAAGGACAUGUGGAGCGCUUAGAAGUGAGAAUGCCGGUGUGAGUAGCGAAAGACGGGUGAGAAUCCCGUCCACCGAUUGACUAAGGUUUCCAGAGGAAGGCUCGUCCGCUCUGGGUUAGUCGGGUCCUAAGCUGAGGCCGACAGGCGUAGGCGAUGGAUAACAGGUUGAUAUUCCUGUACCACCUAGUAUCGUUUUAAUCGAUGGGGGGACGCAGUAGGAUAGGCGAAGCGUGCUGUUGGAGUGCACGUCCAAGCAGUAAGGCUGAGUGUUAGGCAAAUCCGGCACUCAUAAGGCUGAGCUGUGAUGGGGAGAGGAAAUUGUUUCCUCGAGUCGUUGAUUUCACACUGCCGAGAAAAGCCUCUAGAUAGAUAACAGGUGCCCGUACCGCAAACCGACACAGGUAGUCAAGAUGAGAAUUCUAAGGUGAGCGAGCGAACUCUCGUUAAGGAACUCGGCAAAAUGACCCCGUAACUUCGGGAGAAGGGGUGCUCUUUAGGGUUCACGCCCAGAAGAGCCGCAGUGAAUAGGCCCAAGCGACUGUUUAUCAAAAACACAGGUCUCUGCUAAACCGUAAGGUGAUGUAUAGGGGCUGACGCCUGCCCGGUGCUGGAAGGUUAAGAGGAGUGGUUAGCUUCUGCGAAGCUACGAAUCGAAGCCCCAGUAAACGGCGGCCGUAACUAUAACGGUCCUAAGGUAGCGAAAUUCCUUGUCGGGUAAGUUCCGACCCGCACGAAAGGCGUAACGAUUUGGGCACUGUCUCAACGAGAGACUCGGUGAAAUCAUAGUACCUGUGAAGAUGCAGGUUACCCGCGACAGGACGGAAAGACCCCGUGGAGCUUUACUGUAGCCUGAUAUUGAAAUUCGGCACAGCUUGUACAGGAUAGGUAGGAGCCUUUGAAACGUGAGCGCUAGCUUACGUGGAGGCGUUGGUGGGAUACUACCCUAGCUGUGUUGGCUUUCUAACCCGCACCACUUAUCGUGGUGGGAGACAGUGUCAGGCGGGCAGUUUGACUGGGGCGGUCGCCUCCUAAAAGGUAACGGAGGCGCUCAAAGGUUCCCUCAGAAUGGUUGGAAAUCAUUCAUAGAGUGUAAAGGCAUAAGGGAGCUU
RNAcentral lists this ribosomal RNA (1122 nucleotides) under Pseudomonas aeruginosa. RNAcentral describes it as "partial 23S ribosomal RNA". It matches the Rfam family "Bacterial large subunit ribosomal RNA", at positions 1251 to 2370 of the family's 2925-position model. Lineage: Bacteria; Pseudomonadati; Pseudomonadota; Gammaproteobacteria; Pseudomonadales; Pseudomonadaceae. The record is from RNAcentral.